Sebastes umbrosus (honeycomb rockfish) is the source of this 507-nucleotide long non-coding RNA. RefSeq lists it as uncharacterized. NCBI's taxonomy places the organism in Eukaryota, Metazoa, Chordata, Actinopteri, Perciformes, Sebastidae. The transcript has 2 exons. The record is from RefSeq and is a predicted model, not a curated record.
UUUGAAUCCUCCUGUUGCCAUGAUCCCUUUUUUUGAUGAUUUAGUUUAAAUUAGCGUAAAAUAUGAAUGGAGUUUGGCUCUCUGCUCUUAGUCCUACUUGCACCGCAUUCCUUGAGUUAUUAACCAGGUUGCUGUUGACAGGUCCGACCAGGUGAGCACCGCGGUCUCUCUCAGAUGAAUGGCGCUCGUUCUGGAGCGCUGAGAGCCGCUCGCUGCUGCUGCUGCUCGGCGCUCUGCCCUCUGGCACACAACCGAGCGACUCCGACAACACCCGAACAUUCCCGAGUGGAGCCGAAGCAGCUGUGGAGCUCAGCCCCAGAAUAAAGUCACUGUAAUGAUCUUUUAAUAUUCACAAAAGGGGCUUGUAGUUUUGCCUAAGGUGAUUUAAAGUACUUUAUUUUUUUAUACUUUAUUUUUUGUUGUUUUAUAAUAAAAAACAAACAAACAAACAAUACAGACAACAUAAGACAGACAGGGUCAUCCUGAGUGAGGUGAAAUGCUUAAAGG